UACAGAGGGUGCGAGCGUUAAUCGGAAUUACUGGGCGUAAAGGGCGCGUAGGUGGAUGCGUAAGUCGGAUGUGAAAUCCCUGGGCUUAACCUGGGAAUGGCAUACGAUACUGGGCAUCUAGAGUUGAGUAGAGGGAAGUGGAAUUUCCGGUGUAGCGGUGAAAUGCGUAGAUAUCGGAAGGAACACCAGUGGCGAAGGCGGCUUCCUGGACUCAAACUGACGCUGAGGCGCGAAAAGCGUGGGGAGCAAACAGG
RNAcentral lists this ribosomal RNA (254 nucleotides) under uncultured bacterium. Its description in RNAcentral is "partial 16S ribosomal RNA". It matches the Rfam family "Bacterial small subunit ribosomal RNA", at positions 524 to 776 of the family's 1533-position model. The record is from RNAcentral.